RNAcentral lists this small nuclear RNA (307 nucleotides) under Erinaceus europaeus (western European hedgehog). RNAcentral describes it as "7SK RNA". It matches the Rfam family "7SK RNA". Rfam says of the family: 7SK was discovered as an abundant small nuclear RNA in the mid-70s but a possible function has only recently been suggested. Two independent studies have found that 7SK RNA binds the CDK9/cyclin T complex (known as elongation factor P-TEFb). Lineage: Eukaryota; Metazoa; Chordata; Mammalia; Eulipotyphla; Erinaceidae. The record is from Rfam by way of RNAcentral.
GGAUGUGAGGGUGAUCUGGCUGCGACAUCUGUCACCCCAUUGAUCGCCAGGGUUGACUGGCUGGCUAGGCCGGUGUCCCCUUCCUCCCUCACAGCUCGCUCAAUGUGCGUCCCUCCCGAAGAGGACGGCCUUCCUGGAAUAGAGACGGACCAGUCUUUGGUCCAGGGUAUAGGAGUAGCUGCGCUCUCCUGCUAGAACCUCCAAACAAGCUCUCAAGGUAUCAUUUGCCUGUACUUUAUGCUAUUUGAUGAUGUUUACUCAAGCAAUUACACUAAGUAAUUAUGGCUACAUAAUAAUAUGCUAUUUU